RNAcentral lists this ribosomal RNA (433 nucleotides) under uncultured bacterium. Its description in RNAcentral is "partial 16S ribosomal RNA". It matches the Rfam family "Bacterial small subunit ribosomal RNA", at positions 29 to 507 of the family's 1533-position model. The record is from RNAcentral.
AACGAACGCUGGCGGCAUGCCUAACACAUGCAAGUCGAACGAGACCUUCGGGUCUAGUGGCGCACGGGUGCGUAACGCGUGGGAAUCUGCCCUUGGGUUCGGAAUAACAGUGAGAAAUUACUGCUAAUACCGGAUGAUGUCUUCGGACCAAAGAUUUAUCGCCCAGGGAUGAGCCCGCGUAGGAUUAGCUAGUUGGUGGGGUAAUGGCCUACCAAGGCGACGAUCCUUAGCUGGUCUGAGAGGAUGAUCAGCCACACUGGGACUGAGACACGGCCCAGACUCCUACGGGAGGCAGCAGUGGGGAAUAUUGGACAAUGGGCGCAAGCCUGAUCCAGCAAUGCCGCGUGAGUGAUGAAGGCCUUAGGGUUGUAAAGCUCUUUUACCCGGGAUGAUAAUGACAGUACCGGGAGAAUAAGCCCCGGCUAACUCCGUG